GAUGAACGCUGGCGGCGUGCCUAAUACAUGCAAGUCGAGCGAACAGAUGAGGAGCUUGCUCCUCUGACGUUAGCGGCGGACGGGUGAGUAACACGUGGAUAACCUACCUAUAAGACUGGGAUAACUUCGGGAAACCGGAGCUAAUACCGGAUAAUAUAUUGAACCGCAUGGUUCAAUAGUGAAAGACGGUUUUGCUGUCACUUAUAGAUGGAUCCGCGCCGCAUUAGCUAGUUGGUAAGGUAACGGCUUACCAAGGCGACGAUGCGUAGCCGACCUGAGAGGGUGAUCGGCCACACUGGAACUGAGACACGGUCCAGACUCCUACGGUAGGCAGCAGUAGGGAAUCUUCCGCAAUGGGCGAAAGCCUGACGGAGCAACGCCGCGUGAGUGAUGAAGGUCUUCGGAUCGUAAAACUCUGUUAUUAGGGAAGAACAAAUGUGUAAGUAACUAUGCACGUCUUGACGGUACCUAAUCAGAAAGCCACGGCUAACUACGUG
This 497-nucleotide ribosomal RNA is filed under the name uncultured bacterium. RNAcentral describes it as "partial 16S ribosomal RNA". It matches the Rfam family "Bacterial small subunit ribosomal RNA", at positions 28 to 507 of the family's 1533-position model. The record is from RNAcentral.